Molecule: ribosomal RNA, 254 nt
Filed under: uncultured bacterium
Lineage: Bacteria
Description: partial small subunit ribosomal RNA
Rfam family: Bacterial small subunit ribosomal RNA
Source: RNAcentral
AGGACGAACGCUGGCGGCGUGCUUAACACAUGCAAGUCGAGCGGAAAGGCCCUUCGGGGUACUCGAGCGGCGAACGGGUGAGUAACACGUGAGCAACCUGCCCUUAGCUCCGGGAUAGCUCCGGGAAACCGGAAUUAAUGCCGGAUACGACCACGGCCGACAUCUGCUGUGGUGGAAAGGAUUCCGGCUAAGGAUGGGCUCGCGGCCUAUCAGCUAGUUGGUGGAGUAACGGCCCACCAAGGCGACGACGGGUA